RNAcentral lists this ribosomal RNA (563 nucleotides) under Glomeromycotina sp. RNAcentral's name for it is "SSU rRNA". It matches the Rfam family "Eukaryotic small subunit ribosomal RNA", at positions 548 to 1113 of the family's 1831-position model. Lineage: Eukaryota; Fungi; Glomeromycota. The record is from RNAcentral.
UUGGAGGGCAAGUCUGGUGCCAGCAGCCGCGGUAAUUCCAGCUCCAAUAGCGUAUAUUAAAGUUGUUGCAGUUAAAAAGCUCGUAGUUGAAUUUCGGGAUCAAUAUGUCGGUCGUGCCUCGGUACGUACUGGUAUCAUUGGUUUCUCCCUUCUGAUGAACCAUGAUGCCAUUAAUUUGGUGUCGUGGGGAAUCAGGACUGUUACUUUGAAAAAAUUAGAGUGUUUAAAGCAGGCUCACGCUUGAAUACAUUAGCAUGGAAUAAUGAAAUAGGACGUUUGAUUCUAUUUUGUUGGUUUCUAGGAUCGACGUAAUGAUUAAUAGGGAUAGUUGGGGGCAUUAGUAUUCAAUUGUCAGAGGUGAAAUUCUUGGAUUUAUUGAAGACUAACUACUGCGAAAGCAUUUGCCAAGGAUGUUUUCAUUAAUCAAGAACGAAAGAUAGGGGAUCGAAGACGAUCAGAUACCGUCGUAGUCUUAACCAUAAACUAUGCCGACUAGGGAUCGGAUGAUGUUAAUUUUUUAAUGACUCAUUCGGCGCCUUACGGGAAACCAAAGUGUUUGGGUU